UCUGUGAGCCACUUGUGGCUAAAACAAUUUUUUCUCUGCAUUCAUGCUCUGCAAAUGCAUGAGCUGGCCAGUAAGUUCAUGAUUCUGGUUUCUCCAGCCCUGCAGAGGGUAGGCAGGCCCAAUUUCCUAAAUGGCACUCACUCCAGGGAAGGAAGAUCAGAGCUGGAACAGACUUUUCCUCCAGGCUUCAGUUAGGCACAGCAAGCAUCACGCCACUUGGCUCUGCAGCCCAGCAGCUUGUCCAGCCUGCAGCAGGAGCCAAGGAACACCCAGGACACCGUCACAAGCUCCAGCCCACAAGGCCUCACAGAACAAAUGUGCUUCAACUGAUUCCUUGCAGCUUGGAUAGAGCAUGAUACCAUGUCCAGAACCAGAUUGUAGUGCAUGAAAUACAGGCUUUACCUACCCCUGGAGGAGCCUUGUUCUGCAACAUCCUCAGAAACAGCAGAAUUCCCCCAAUCUGAGUUAUAUAAAAGCUGUUUGAAUCUGAAGUUGGCACAGCUGAUGGGAUUUCUGUCUCAGUUAUUUUUCCUCUCAAUUAAGGGCAGUGAGGUAGACUUCACAUAUACAGAGUGUGACCCUCGGGCUCCAAUCCCUCAGCCAAUUUACCAGUGCUUCAUGGUAAAAAGGAGUCCAAUAUUCUCCCACAUAACCAACCAACCUCUUGCAGUUCACUGCUCACAAAACCCCUUCUCACAAGCUUGUUUCUGCUGUUAUCAGAAUAUUUAUAACUACCUUCCUCUUCACCCUGCCUUUAGAGAGCCCCAGGUGCAUGCUCUUCUCUUUCAAAAGGAACAGGGGAAACCAUC
Melospiza melodia melodia is the source of this 809-nucleotide long non-coding RNA. RefSeq lists it as uncharacterized. The record is from RefSeq and is a predicted model, not a curated record. NCBI's taxonomy places the organism in Eukaryota, Metazoa, Chordata, Aves, Passeriformes, Passerellidae. The transcript is spliced from 3 exons.